This 1077-nucleotide long non-coding RNA is filed under the name Panax ginseng (ginseng). RNAcentral's name for it is "long non-coding RNA (PGIN_LNC003706)". The record is from RNAcentral. Lineage: Eukaryota; Viridiplantae; Streptophyta; Magnoliopsida; Apiales; Araliaceae.
UCUAUUUUUUUUUUGUCUGUUCAUUUUAAAAUUCAAAAACAGAGCAUAAAGGUUAAAUCAAUAAUUUUUGACGUCUGCUCUCUUAAACUCUUAUGACUCAUUAGUCCUUUCACCAGAUGAAAUAUGAUCUCUCAUAUCCCCCCAAACAUCUCUUUUCUAGCUAAGCUAAUCUCAAAUCUCACACUUUCUAGUUCAUCCCUCAUCUCUCACUCUCUCUAGUUCAUCUCUCAUCUCUCACUCUCUAGCACUUUGGCCUAACCCAAAACCCCUUCACUGAUUUCACGGCCGACCCUUUUGUCGCCGCACCAUAUGCUGUCGGAGCAAAGGUAGAAAUCGAAUUGCGGAUGAUCAACGAUUGAGAUGUGAGGGUCAGAAAAGAUAGAAAUUAAAGUUUUGGGAUGUGGGUUUGGUGAAGAGAAUGGAUUUAACUAUUGGUAUGUGAUAUAUGUGUAUGUAGUCUAGACUCUAGAGAUGGGUGUUCUAAAAUCUAAACACAAUAUACAUAUAUGUGGUUUGGUUAAGCUAUUCCGAAUGGGUUUAGCUACUGGCAUACAUGUAUAUAUAUAUGUAUAAACUAAUCAAGCUAUUGUUGUGUAAAAUAUAUAUGUAUAUAGUCUAGACAGGGAAGCAGGGGUUUUUAGAGAGAGAUAUGGAGAUUAGAAUUUAGAGACACAUGAGGAGGAUUGGGAUUAAGGCAUUAAUGAAACCUUCAUUUCGGUUAUUAAUUGAAUAAUCGAAUAAGGAAUUCAAUUAUUCGGUAUUCGAUAAUUCGGUUAUCUCCAAAUUCGGUUAACAGUUUGAUAUUAAAAUUGUGAUCAUUUCAGUUUUUGGUUAUAAUCGAAUAAGCUAUUCGAUUCGGUUAUAACCGAAUGCUCAGCCCUAGUCCCUUUGUUUAAUUUAACACGAGAAUCACCAUAUAUAUAUACACACAAAAAGUCAGCAGUCAUGAAAAUUUGGGAAGUUAAAAAAACAUGACUGUCGCUACAGCAUGUAGCGGGAAGGAGGAAUUAACCAAGCUUGCAAAUUUAAAUUUUAAGGGGGCAAUUAUGUAAUUGCGAAUAACUUUUUGAAAUUUAG